GGAUUGGGAGGGUUCUACGGAACCCGUUUGGUGAAUCUAGUGCCGAGAAAAGCCUUCUAUGUGUUGAAUUUCUAGUACCCGUACCCCAAACCGACACAGGUGGGUGGGUAGAGCAUAUCUAGGGGCGCGUGAUAACUCUCUCUAAGGAACUCGGCAAAAUGGCCCUGUAACUUCGGGAUAAGGGGUGCCUGCGUAAGCAGGCCGCAGUGAAAUGGCUCUGGCGACUGUUUACCAAAAACACAGGUCUCUGCUAAGUCGUAAGACGAUGUAUAGGGGCUGACUCCUGCCCAGUGCCGGAAGGUUAAGGAAGUUGGUUAGCGCAAGCGAAGCUGGCGACCGAAGCCCCGGUGAACGGCGGCCGUAACAAUAACGGUCCUAAGGUAGCGAAAUUCCUUGUCGGGUAAGUUCCGACCCGCACGAAAGGAGUAACGAUCAGAGCGCUGUCUCGGAGAGAGACACGGCGAAAUAGGAUUGUCCGUGAAGAUACGGACUACCUGCACCCGGACAGAAAGACCCUAUGAAGCUUUACUGUAACUUGGAAUUGUGUUCGGACUUUGUCUGCGCAGAAUAGGUGGGAGGCUAUGAAACGUUCCUCGCGGGGAACUGGAGCCAUCGUUGAGAUACCACUCUGGCAGAGUCUGGAUUCUAACCUACGGGGACAGUUCCAGGUGGGCAGUUUGACUGGGGCGGUCGCCUCCUAAAAUGUAACGGAGGCGCGCAAAGGUUCCCUCAGGCUGGUUGGAAAUCAGCCAUAGAGUGUAAAAGCAUAAGGGAGCUUGACUGUGAGACCUACAAGUCGAGCAGGGACGAAAGUCGGCUUUAGUGAUCCGACGGCACUGAGUGGAAGGGCCGUCGCUCAACGGAUAAAAGUUACUCUAAGGAUAACAGGCUGAUCUCCCCCAAGAGUUCACAUCGACGGGGAGGUUUGGCACCUUGAUGUCGGCUCGUCGCAACCUGGGGCGGUAGUACGUCCCAAGGGUUGGGCUGUUCGCCCAUUAAAGCGGCACGUGAGCUGGGUUCAGAACGUCGUGAGACAGUUCGGUCCAUAUCCGGUGUAGGCGUAGGAGCAUUGAAAGGAUCUCUCCUUAGUACGAGAGGACCGGGAGGGACGUACCUCUGGUGUACCUGUUAUCGUGCCAACGGUAAACGCAGGGUAGCCAUGUACGGAGUGGAUAACCGCUGAAAGCAUCUAAGUGGGAAGCCCACCUUAAGAUGAGUGCUCCCUUGAGGCCACGGGAAGACGACCCGUUUGAUAGGCGCUAGGUGGAAGUGCAGUAAUGCAUGCAGCCGAGGCGUACUAAUAGGCCGAUGGCUUGUC
This 1318-nucleotide ribosomal RNA is filed under the name metagenome. Its description in RNAcentral is "bacterial LSU rRNA". It matches the Rfam family "Bacterial large subunit ribosomal RNA", at positions 1563 to 2925 of the family's 2925-position model. The record is from RNAcentral.